GCAUAUCAAUAAGCGGAGGAAAAGAAACCAACCGGGAUUACCUCAGUAACGGCGAGUGAAGCGGUAACAGCUCAAAUUUGAAAUCUGGCUCUUGCGGAGUCCGAGUUGUAAUUUGUAGAAGAUGCUUUGGGUUGUGGGUUCGGCCUAAGUUCCUUGGAACAGGACGUCAUAGAGGGUGAGAAUCCCGUAUGUGGCCGAGGCCCGCGCCUAUGUAAAGCUCUUUCAACGAGUCGAGUUGUUUGGGAAUGCAGCUCAAAAUGGGUGGUAAAUUUCAUCUAAAGCUAAAUAUGGGCCAGAGACCGAUAGCGCACAAGUAGAGUGAUCGAAAGAUGAAAAGCACUUUGGAAAGAGAGUUAAACAGUACGUGAAAUUGUUGAAAGGGAAGCGCUUGCAACCAGACUUGGGCGCUGCCGAUCACCUUGAGUUUUCUCGAGUGCACUCGACAGCGCACAGGCCAGCAUCGGUUCGGGUGGCUGGAUAAAGGCCGUAGGAAUGUGGCUCUCUUCGGGGAGUGUUAUAGCCUACGGUGCCAUGCAGCCCAGCCGGACCGAGGACCGCGCCUUCGGGCUAGGAUGCUGGCGUAAUGGUUGUAAGCGACCCGUCUUGAAACACGGACC
Molecule: ribosomal RNA, 617 nt
Filed under: Oidium heveae
Lineage: Eukaryota; Fungi; Ascomycota; Leotiomycetes; Helotiales; Erysiphaceae
Description: eukaryotic LSU rRNA
Rfam family: Eukaryotic large subunit ribosomal RNA
Source: RNAcentral